Molecule: long non-coding RNA, 4242 nt
Organism: Triticum aestivum (bread wheat)
Lineage: Eukaryota; Viridiplantae; Streptophyta; Magnoliopsida; Poales; Poaceae
Exons: 4
Source: RefSeq, a predicted model, not a curated record
UUCCCACCUCCUCUGUUACGCCUGCCACCAUCUUCCUCCUUGUCCCUCUUUCUCGUUGCUGUGGUCUACUGUGGAGGCGUGGAGUGCUGAUCCUAGAUCCUAGCCACACUCUUUCCGAAGCAGUCCCCGUAUCCCCUCGCGCCAUUUCCGAAUCAUUUCGCCGAAUCUCGGCGUCUCCACCACAUUAACGCCAUGCAUCCACCGGAUCCGACCAUCGGCUUCUACGGCAAUGCGCGCUGAUGCGACCAUAACGGCCUCACGCUCCAUGGAUUCUUAUUUUGUUGCACGGCUUUUGUGGCGUCUGCUUGCCGUCCUGAAAUGCCUGCGCGGGCCGGGCGCACGGGAGGUGUUCGACAGAUUGGCCAAACGGGACAGCACGUUCGACGUGCCGCGAAUUUCCUCCGCGAGUCUGCAUCGACGACGAUCAGAAGGAAUCCUGUGGUUUGGGUGUCAAUCAUGGAUAACUGAGGGCUGCGACCCGUGUUCAGUGCGAUGCCUGACAGACAUCUGUUCGCGUUUCAGGAGGCUGUUGGCGUAAUGCUUGGCACAAGCUGGCAUUUCUGGAGCAUAUGUGAGGGAAGACUCACCAUGUUUGGAAGGGAUGCUGCUAGGAUGACGCCGCAGUUCCAUCUCCGCCGUAAAUAAGGUCACUGGUGUGAACCCACCAGCAGAAACUGAGCAGAAUGGCUGCAAUUGCUACAUAAGGCCAUGAAGCACCGUGCGGUAUCAUAGAGACCAAUGAAGAAGCUCGAUAGCGGGGAAUAAGCAAAUUGCACUGCUUCACUAUCUGUUAACUGUGGCAUGAAUCCAUCAAUUAGUUUUGUUUAGAGGUUUAUCCCAUUAUCUCCCCCAGGCUUGUAUGCAACUGAACAAGCAUUUGUCAGUUGUGGACUGGAAGUAGUGAAUUUUCACCCACCAGGUUUCAGCUGACCAUGCUGCAGUUUAUUUACAUCCAGGAGGCUGUUGGCGUAAAGCUUGGCAUAGGCUGGCAUUUGAGACAGAACGCAUCUGGGGACUGACUUGGUUUGUGUUUAACGAACUGCCCGGAUGGACUGCACAUGUGGUUCUCCGUGAAGUGCCUCUUGGAGGCUAUAUGCUUUAUGGAGUCUUGUGCAAGAUCAAUCAUUCUGGAUCUGCAGAUGGUAAUCCGAUGGCUUGCUGGUCUAUCCUAUGGUGGAUUGUGCACAGCUGCAUUCAGUAGAAUACCCGAGAUGGACUGCACAUGUGGUUCUCGGUGAAGAGCCUCUUGGUGGCUACGCUUUAUGGAGUCUUGUGCAAGAUCAAUCAUUCUGGAAGGCAUACCCGCUGGCAUGCUGAUCUAUCUCGCCGUGGAACAUGCAUGUCUGUGUCUCAGUAGAAUAUCUGAGGUACAUGCUACGAUGCCUGGUACUCCCUCCGUCCCGAAAUAAGUAUCUUUGAUUUAGUACAACUUUGUACUAAAUCAAAGGCACUUAUUUUGGGACGGAGGGAGUACUUGUCUGGCUUUACAAUUAUCUCAUGUCAUUCUGUCCAUCAUGGUUCAUGAGGCUGCUUGUACAAGCUUCUCUGCCUUCUUUUUAUUCUAUCGUUGGGAGUUGUUCUUAAAUACUUGCCAAGAAAAUUUGAGCAAACUAAAGGUCCUCAUCACUUGUCAUGUCAAGGAACAAAAUUGGAGCACAAAAUAAUGCAAGUUGUGUGUGGUGGAAAUUUCCAUUGUCGUAAGGAUGAGCGGUCUUUGUCCCAGUAGUACCUCCAGCUCUAUCGUGCAAUAAUGCAACUUGGAUACAUCAGGAUACAGAAGUGAACUCUAUGUUAACAUAUUUGUGGUAUAAGAUGGCAAACCCGGUCUAUAUGGCUUCUUAAAACAAGUGGUUAAAAAGAUACAUUUUCUGUGAGGAAAACAAAUGUGGCAAUAUUAGACUAACAGUGCGCUGACCCAAAUUAUGUAGAGAGAUAAAUACAGAACGGGUUGACACUUGAGAACCACUUCUAAUUUGAAAACUGCUAUUUAACGUAAGAGUACAAUUUUCCAGUUUCUAUGUUCUAGUUUGAUCAGUUAGAAUUUAUAUAGUAACUAGUGGCAAAUGGUUCUUGAUAUUACCAGAUUGCAUGUGAUUGUACCAGGAAAAUUUGGUAUGAUCAUUUCUUGCAUAAAGUUAUGGCUGAACAUAAAGAGAUCAUAACAAAGCUAGGUCAACAAAAAAAUGGGCAGACCUGUAAGUCAUGGCCAGAUUUUUCACAUGCCAGUUAUAAGAUUGAAAACUGAAGUAUUAGCUAAAGUUGAAAUGUUGCAGUCUUUGAAGAUAACUUUACAAGAGAGAAGCACUUCAUAAAGUCGCUAUAGUUUAUGUCCUCGAGGUAGAAACUAAGAAAUGAAAUUGCGUAUAGGACAGUGUAGGUAUCUUGCAGAGCACUUUGAAGGCUACAUUCUGCAUUUUUAAUUCAACAAGUGAGAUUUGGUGGAUAAUGAGCAACUAACUUUCACAGGGGGCCAAGGGCCAAUACGUGUACAGGUGUGGUAAAGUGCAGGAAGCCCCUUAUACAAUGGGGAUAUACAGAAAAGGGGACUAUACACAUCUAACCCCCCCCCCCCCUCAAACUCAUGGUGGAUCAACAACACUGAGUUUGGAGAGAAAGAACCCAUGCUGCGCUCGAGUCUGUGCCUUCGUGAAGAAGUCGGCCAACUGUAACUCAGAGGGCACAUAGUGAAGACCGAGAAUCUGAUCCUGCACAGCAGCACGCACAAAGGAGUCAUCUACACCGAUGUGCUUGGUGAGCUCAUGCUUCACCAGGUCAUGCGCAAUACUGAUAGCACAUGUACUGUCUGACAAUAAGGGAGUCGGUGUAGUAGCAGACACACCAAUCCUCAAGUAACCAUCGUAACCAGAUCACCUCAGUCGUCAACAUAGCUCGCUCGCAACUCAGCCUCUGUACUCAAGCGAGAAACUGCAGUCAGUUUCUUUGUCUUCCAGGCAAUGAGAGAGCCACCAAGAAAUACACAGUAAGCAGAUAGCGAGCGUCGAUCAGAGGGAUCACUAGCCCACGUAGCAUCAAAGUAGGCCUAGAGCUGGAGAGAGCUGGAGCGGGGAAAGAAAAGGUGGUGAGAGAUCAUGCCACGAAGAUAUCAUAGAACACGGAGGAGGUGACUAUAGUGGACAGAGGUGGGGCUGAAACGAACUGACUGAGAAUGUGGACAGGAUAGGAUAUGUCAGGACGAGUAACAACUAGAUAGACAAGGCUCCCAACGAGGUGGCGACAGCGAGUGAAAUUAGGAAGAGGAUCACCGUCAGAGGCACGAAGCUGAACAUUGAGCUCCAUAGGAGUCACAACAGUGCGCUCAUCACUAAGAGCGGCUCGAGCAAGAAAAUCCUGAAUAUAUUUUUCCUGGGAGAUGAAGAAGCCAUAAGAGGUCGAAGAAACCUCAAUCCCAAGAAAAUAGCGAAGUGGACCAAGAUCAGAUAUGAGGAACUGGUCGCGAAGGUAGGCCUUAACAAAGGCAACGUAGUCAGAGUCGUUGCGGUGAUGAUCAUGUCAUCGACAUAUAGAAGGAGAAGAGUCCGACCACGAGGAGACGUGUGAACAAACAAAGCGGGAUCAUGAUCACUGGGCGAGAAGCCAGCGACGGUCACCACAGAGGCGAACCGCUCGAACCAGGCGCGAGGGGCCUAUUUAAGACCAUAGAGGGAGCGUCGAAGUCGGCAGACCAUACCAUCAGGAACAUAGUACCCCGGUGGUGGCUGCAUAUAAACCUCCUCACGCAACUCACCAUUGAGAAAGGCGUUCUGACCGUCAAGCUAACACAACAAGGAGAGUGCCACAUGAGCGAAUGUUUCAUCAUAAUCGCGGCCCUGCUCCUGCUGAAAGCCACGAGCCACAAGACGGGCUUUAUAACGCUCAGGAGAACCAUCGGAGCGAGUCUUAAUCUUAUAGACCCACUUGCACGUGAUGGGACGAACAUCGGAAGGAAGGGAAGCCAGAUCCCACGUGCCAGAGCGCUCAAGGGCAGCAAUCUCCUCGGCCAUCGCAAGCUGCCAUUCAGGCUGAGUCAUGGCAGUCCGAUAGGAAGUGGGCUCAGCAACAACAGAGAGACCGUACCGGUCAGGAGAAUAGCGAUCAGGUGGGAGGUGUCGGGGAUAUACCCCGCGGUGUAAACCGGCCGGAAGUUAACCCGGCCGGACUUGGCGGUUUAUUUGAGGUCCCGCUGGCACUUGGCGAUAUUCAUCUGGUGACCCGCUCAGACUUGGCGAUUUACCAGCAACCCGC